GUCGUAACAAGGUUUCCGUGGGUGAACCUGCGGAAGGAUCAUUACCUAGAGUUUGUAGACUUCGGUCUGCUACCUCUUACCCAUGUCUUUUGAGUACCUUCGUUUCCUCGGCGGGUCCGCCCGCCGAUUGGACAACAUUCAAACCCUUUGCAGUUGCAAUCAGCGUCUGAAAAAACAUAAUAGUUACAACUUUCAACAACGGAUCUCUUGGUUCUGGCAUCGAUGAAGAACGCAGCGAAAUGCGAUAAGUAGUGUGAAUUGCAGAAUUCAGUGAAUCAUCGAAUCUUUGAACGCACAUUGCGCCCCUUGGUAUUCCAUGGGGCAUGCCUGUUCGAGCGUCAUUUGUACCUUCAAGCUCUGCUUGGUGUUGGGUGUUUGUCUCGCCUCUGCGUGUAGACUCGCCUUAAAACAAUUGGCAGCCGGCGUAUUGAUUUCGGAGCGCAGUACAUCUCGCGCUUUGCACUCAUAACGAUGACGUCCAAAAGUACAUUUUUACACUCUUGACCUCGGAUCAGGUAGGGAUACCCGCUGAACUUAAGCAUAUCA
Molecule: ribosomal RNA, 546 nt
Filed under: uncultured fungus
Lineage: Eukaryota; Fungi
Description: eukaryotic LSU rRNA
Rfam family: 5.8S ribosomal RNA (bases 188-341)
Source: RNAcentral